This 460-nucleotide ribosomal RNA is filed under the name uncultured bacterium. RNAcentral's name for it is "partial 16S ribosomal RNA". It matches the Rfam family "Bacterial small subunit ribosomal RNA", at positions 338 to 795 of the family's 1533-position model. The record is from RNAcentral.
CCUACGGGAGGCAGCAGUGAGGAAUAUUGGUCAAUGGGCGCAAGCCUGAACCAGCCAAGUAGCGUGAAGGAUGACUGCCCUACGGGUUGUAAACUUCUUUUAUAAGGGAAUAAAGUGAGGCACGUGUGCCUUUUUGUAUGUACUUUAUGAAUAAGGAUCGGCUAACUCCGUGCCAGCAGCCGCGGUAAUACGGAGGAGCCGAGCGUUAUCCGGAUUUAUUGGGUUUAAAGGGAGCGUAGAUGGGUUGUUAAGUCAGUUGUGAAAGUUUGCGGCUCAACCGUAAAAUUGCAAUUGAUACUGGAAGUCUUGAGUACAGUUGGGGUAGGCGGAAUUCGUGGUGUAGCGGUGAAAUGCUUAGAUAUCACGAAGAACUCCGAUUGCGAAGGCAGCUUACUAAACUGCCACUGACGCUGAUGCUCGAAAGUGUGGGUAUCAAACAGGAUUAGAUACCCGAGUAGUC